GGGAAUAGCUCAGAGGUAGAGCACAACCUUGCCAAGGUUGGGGUCGCGGGUUCAAAUCCCGUUUCCC
Molecule: transfer RNA, 67 nt
Filed under: marine eukaryotic metagenome
Rfam family: tRNA
About the family: Transfer RNA (tRNA) molecules are approximately 80 nucleotides in length. Their secondary structure includes four short double-helical elements and three loops (D, anti-codon, and T loops).
Source: RNAcentral